UAGAGUAGCACAAUGGUUUGAUCAAGAUCUAACAUACUAUUUUUCAUCUUCCGCUCUAUAAUAUUUUUGUUCUUUCCUUUAUCUAAUAAUUCAAAACACAUUCAUUUUAUGCACUAUAAUGGUUUUGUUUAAUAAAAUUUUGAUACAAGUUCAAAUUAAAUAAUAAUAUAUAUCUAUAAAUAAUAAUAAAUAAUAAUUUUUCAUAUAAAAAGAAAAUUAUUUAUAAUUAGAUAAUUGAUUUUAAAUAACUAUGAUGUCAUAAAAAUGUCAAAAAACAUAUUUAUAAGCUAAAAUUUGGCAUUAGUGGUGCCUACUUCAUUCUUAUUCAACAUGUGAAAUGUUUUUAAUAUCAAAUAAUACAUAACAUUAAGUCGUUAUUCAACAUACCAAUUUAAUUAUAAUGAUUCAACUGUAGACUUUUUUAUUCAAUAUAUACAUUGUAAAUUGUCUUAGAUCUUCCAUCUUUUCUUGAUACUUUUAACAGUAAAAUAUCUUAAUGUUAGAUUCACAAAAAAAAUACAGUUAAAAAAUAAAGUUGAUGCUAAUAUAUAUAGACAAAUAAAACAUUGGUUUAUAAAGGUGGAUGUAGAAAUCUUUUAUUAAAGGCAAAUCUAUGUAAAUAUAAGCAUAAUACUAAAAAGUGAUUUUUAAUAGAGAACAAAGUUUUAUUAGGGGCAAAUUAUAUAUAUCCAGAGGGUAGGGCGUGUUUGGGCAGAAGACUGCGGUCCGCGCAGACUUGACCUAUUGUGAUCCGCUUGAAGCCAACCCCGCUGCGAUCCAGGAUGGGAUGAGACGGGAUAACCUGUCUGCCAUCUCUAGGUGGAACAAUGAAACUAGUUUGGGUUUUUUGGUGAAAGAUUGAAAAUUCUUGGUAUAUUAUGCAAUUUAUGGAGUAGUGAUUAAUGAUCUGGGCUUCUUUAAGAGAUUUCGGCCCAUUAAAUAGAUAUAAAGCAGUGUAACUAGGGCCCAUAUGAUUCAUCUUAAUAACGCUUACUGUAGCUUCAUCUUCCCUCUCUCUCUCCCCUGAAGUGGCUACUAUGAGUCUCUCCCUCAGUGUUACCUUGUGGAUAAGGCGGCGCUGAUUGCGGUCCGAUUCAGCAAGGUGGGUCUUGUAACGACCCGACGGGUAUCCAGAAGAUGGCGUCUUAUGUUUUCAGUAACUACUACUUGAAGAACGGACAAGCUGACGAGGCUUGUAGUAUCUACAACAACGCAGCUCUCACUUCCAUCAAUCCCAUAAGAGAGUGAGCAAUGGGCGAGUCGUGGACGACACUUCAGUGUGUGCAGGAGGACAAGCAGAUAUGAGCAGUAGCAGACGGGUAUCCAGCAGCUAGAUCUUGACGAUGCACGGAUAAAUUCAUCUGUAGGCCAUAAGCACAAGCUCGUUGACGAUGAUAAAAGUCCUAGUGUAGGUUUUAACAUGUUUUUGAUAUCUUCAAUUGUAAUUGCAUUGUUAAUAUUGCUAUUAAGACGAUCAUGUUUUACCGUAGCAUCAAUCCCUAGGUCUUAUGACCUUACAAUGCCUUCAAAUUGGAAACA
This is a long non-coding RNA of Brassica rapa (field mustard), 1539 nucleotides long. RefSeq lists it as uncharacterized. The record is from RefSeq and is a predicted model, not a curated record. NCBI's taxonomy places the organism in Eukaryota, Viridiplantae, Streptophyta, Magnoliopsida, Brassicales, Brassicaceae.